GAGUCAAGCCUCCUGCCUGCUCAAAAAAUAAAUUCCCCUACCUUUCACUCUGCCUCGCAGACCACCACUCUCGGUGCAGUUGCAUACAACCUGCUGUUGCUCUGCAAGUCACCGGAGCGGAGGCUAUGCGAGGCAAAUCCCUAUAUGCGAGACGUCGUCGUCUCGACGAUUUAUUUUUUUACAUUGGGCGCCACUAUGUUAUGGAACUGCAUUUGGUCCUGGGACGGCGCCGGCUAGCUCCCGAAUCCCCAGGGCGGAGUAUCCCCAAUGUCCCUACAGAUUCCACAACAUAAACAUCGAUGACACGCGUCUCACAUCACAAAAAAUAUCGGUCUUCACUAACAAGCAAAACAAACAAAAUGUAAACAAUGCAAAUAAUUGAAGUGACGGGAAAUAUAUGGCGUUUUGGUGGCUAUUGGUGACCUAGCCAAGCACGCCCACCCUACCAAGGAUGCCCCGGAGGAUUCUGCGGAGGCAUCACCCAUGAUCAGCUGGUCCAAGUCACUCCUCGCGACUAGGACAGCUCCAUCUCCCCCACAACGACAACUCACUCGUACAUUUCAGUCUUCAUGUACAUUUAAUAUCCACACCUCUACGACCAAACUUGGCCACCGUCUUCAAAUUUAACCGGUCAAAGCGGAAGAUUACCUUCCUUUGGCAAAGGCUACAGGCGCCGCGGAAAUAAUGUUCCACCAGUCACUUAUUGGUGGAACUCGCAUUGAACGAGGCGCACAAAAGCACACACACGGUUAGUGUGUCGGGUCACCUAAUCCUGAGGAGCUCCUGGGGAAAAGAAGGGACAGGCCAAACGGCAACAACGAGGACAAGAAUUGAGGUUGUCGGGUCUAAGUCCGGAUAAAUUUACAGGUCAACAGCCACUUCUGGGCUAGGCGCCGGGCUAACUAUGCCCCGACUACAGUGUACUCUGCCGGAGACCAGCAGCAGUAAGGGCCUGGAACACCCCGAGGAGCGGUGGCGAAGGCGAGCCUGAUGGCGGUGCCUCUCAACGCCGCGCGCUCUGGCAGCCUGACGACCCCAAAGCAGGUGGCGGAUCCACGGGGGGAAAUUAGGUAAAUUUCCCCCCCUUGGAACCGCAGAACCUGAAAAUUUCACUUGUUUGCUAGAAAAAUAUUCUCUGUUCAAAUAUUCUCAUUCAAUUUCCCCCCCCAAGAAUCGUCUCUGGAUCCGCCACUGGUCUUAAUAGCCCGGAACGGACUCACCGGUGAAUGUCGGAUGGCGUUGGCUGCGUGCGAGGAAGGCGAGUAGUGUUUGUCCAGAUCUCGUAGCUGGCUAGACCGAAGAUUUAAUUCCCUCCAAUUUUAAUCUCCAAUUUGAAUUUCCAGGUUUAGUUAGUCCAAUUUUAUAUGUCCAAUUAAGUCUUCUAAUUUGAACUUCCAAUUUAAAUUCCUCCAAUUUAAAUAUCCCGGGGCCCUUUGUAUUGGGACCCCGGUUGCCCUACGAAUAAUUAUUUAUAAAUAAAAUAAACUAUUAAACCUAACACAAAUUUCUCUAACACUCACUUUUUAUUAUAUUUCGGCACA
This is a long non-coding RNA of Drosophila rhopaloa, 1541 nucleotides long. RefSeq lists it as uncharacterized. Lineage: Eukaryota; Metazoa; Arthropoda; Insecta; Diptera; Drosophilidae. The record is from RefSeq and is a predicted model, not a curated record. The transcript has 5 exons.